Molecule: ribosomal RNA, 110 nt
Filed under: Corythoichthys flavofasciatus (network pipefish)
Lineage: Eukaryota; Metazoa; Chordata; Actinopteri; Syngnathiformes; Syngnathidae
Description: partial 16S ribosomal RNA
Source: RNAcentral
GCCCUAAACCUAGCCCGCCCCACCUAAUCAACCAAAACAUAUAUAUAUACCUUAACACCCUAAACAACGCCACUAAACCAUUUUGCCCCCUGAGUAUAGGAGAUAGAAAG